UGGGUGUGUAGCUCAGUGGUCAAGCAUGUGCUUAUUAGUACGCACAGGCCCUGGGUUCAAACCCCAGCACUAA
This 73-nucleotide transfer RNA is filed under the name Marmota monax (woodchuck). RNAcentral describes it as "tRNA.Asn". The stretch from base 6 to 70 matches the Rfam family "tRNA", at positions 5 to 66 of the family's 71-position model. From Rfam's summary of the family: Transfer RNA (tRNA) molecules are approximately 80 nucleotides in length. Lineage: Eukaryota; Metazoa; Chordata; Mammalia; Rodentia; Sciuridae. The record is from RNAcentral.